Molecule: non-coding RNA, 30 nt
Filed under: Rattus norvegicus (Norway rat)
Lineage: Eukaryota; Metazoa; Chordata; Mammalia; Rodentia; Muridae
Source: RNAcentral
AUCAUUAGACUGUGUAAAUAUGGCGCCUGU